RNAcentral lists this long non-coding RNA (508 nucleotides) under Olea europaea (common olive). RNAcentral's name for it is "long non-coding RNA (OEUR_LNC001091)". The record is from RNAcentral. Lineage: Eukaryota; Viridiplantae; Streptophyta; Magnoliopsida; Lamiales; Oleaceae.
UUUUAAAUAUCAAGUUUCUUUAUGAGCAUCAGGCGCGACGUGAAUGGAGAGUGGUUGGAUUGGUAAAGGCUUGAGGCCUUCAUUUUCUUGAAUGAAGAGAUUGAGAAGGUUAUGGGAAGAUAGUUGAGAGGGCUGGAUGUUCAUUGUACUUCCCUAAGAAAUUUAGGAUUUCUGCAUUCACACAUGCAAAAUAUUAUUCAUUAUUGAAGAAGUUAUUUGAUAAUAAGUAAUGACAAUGUUAAAAAUGCAUGCUUGGUAGUUUAGUGAUGCCGUUUUGUCCAUUGUUGCAUUUGGACCUGCAUAGGAAGCUAGUAAUUGUAAAAAAUGCAUGCUUGGUAGUUAGUGAUGGCGUUUUGUCCAAUGUUGCAUUUGGACCUGCAUAGGAAGCUAGUAAGUACAACUACUACAAAAAUUCCAAGUAGCCUCGUUACAGUAUUAUAUGGAAAGUGAAUACCAUACUGGUCUAUCAGACUUGAUAGGUUCAAAAUCUACUGUGUCACAGUUUGGG